Molecule: ribosomal RNA, 429 nt
Filed under: Actinomycetes bacterium
Lineage: Bacteria; Bacillati; Actinomycetota; Actinomycetes
Description: Actinobacteria bacterium partial 16S ribosomal RNA
Rfam family: Bacterial small subunit ribosomal RNA
Source: RNAcentral
UAGGGAAUCUUCCGCAAUGGGCGAAAGCCUGACGGAGCAACGCCGCGUGAGUGAUGAAGGUCUUCGGAUCGUAAAACUCUGUUAUUAGGGAAGAACAAAUGUGUAAGUAACUAUGCACGUCUUGACGGUACCUAAUCAGAAAGCCACGGCUAACUACGUGCCAGCAGCCGCGGUAAUACGUAGGUGGCAAGCGUUAUCCGGAAUUAUUGGGCGUAAAGCGCGCGUAGGCGGUUUUUUAAGUCGGAUGUGAAAGCCCACGGCUCAACCGUGGAGGGUCAUUGGAAACUGGAAAACUUGAGUGCAGAAGAGGAAGGUGGAAUUCCAUGUGUAGCGGUGAAAUGCGCAGAGAUAUGGAGGAACACCAGUGGCGAAGGCGACUUUCUGGUCUGUAACUGACGCUGAUGUGCGAAAGCAUGGGGAUCAAACAGG